GGGACACGUGGUAUCCUGUCUGAAUAUGGGGGGACCAUCCUCCAAGGCUAAAUACUCCUGACUGACCGAUAGUGAACCAGUACCGUGAGGGAAAGGCGAAAAGAACCCCGGCGAGGGGAGUGAAAAAGAACCUGAAACCGUGUACGUACAAGCAGUGGGAGCCUCUUAAUGGGGUGACUGCGUACCUUUUGUAUAAUGGGUCAGCGACUUAUAUUCUGUAGCAAGGUUAACCGAAUAGGGGAGCCGAAGGGAAACCGAGUCUUAACUGGGCGUUAAGUUGCAGGGUAUAGACCCGAAACCCGGUGAUCUAGCCAUGGGCAGGUUGAAGGUUGGGUAACACUAACUGGAGGACCGAACCGACUAAUGUUGAAAAAUUAGCGGAUGACUUGUGGCUGGGGGUGAAAGGCCAAUCAAACCGGGAGAUAGCUGGUUCUCCCCGAAAGCUAUUUAGGUAGCGCCUCGUGAAUUCAUCUCCGGGGGUAGAGCACUGUUUCGGCAAGGGGGUCAUCCCGACUUACCAACCCGAUGCAAACUGCGAAUACCGGAGAAUGUUAUCACGGGAGACACACGGCGGGUGCUAACGUCCGUCGUGAAGAGGGAAACAACCCAGACCGCCAGCUAAGGUCCCAAAGUCAUGGUUAAGUGGGAAACGAUGUGGGAAGGCCCAGACAGCCAGGAUGUUGGCUUAGAAGCAGCCAUCAUUUAAAGAAAGCGUAAUAGCUCACUGGUCGAGUCGGCCUGCGCGGAAGAUGUAACGGGGCUAAACCAUGCACCGAAGCUGCGGCAGCGACACUAUGUGUUGUUGGGUAGGGGAGCGUUCUGUAAGCCUGUGAAGGUGGCCUGUGAGGGUUGCUGGAGGUAUCAGAAGUGCGAAUGCUGACAUAAGUAACGAUAAAGCGGGUGAAAAGCCCGCUCGCCGGAAGACCAAGGGUUCCUGUCCAACGUUAAUCGGGGCAGGGUGAGUCGACCCCUAAGGCGAGGCCGAAAGGCGUAGUCGAUGGGAAACAGGUUAAUAUUCCUGUACUUGGUGUUACUGCGAAGGGGGGACGGAGAAGGCUAUGUUGGCCGGGCGACGGUUGUCCCGGUUUAAGCGUGUAGGCUGGUUUUCCAGGCAAAUCCGGAAAAUCAAGGCUGAGGCGUGAUGACGAGGCACUACGGUGCUGAAGUGACAAAUGCCCUGCUUCCAGGAAAAGCCUCUAAGCAUCAGGUAACAUCAAAUCGUACCCCAAACCGACACAGGUGGUCAGGUAGAGAAUACCAAGGCGCUUGAGAGAACUCGGGUGAAGGAACUAGGCAAAAUGGUGCCGUAACUUCGGGAGAAGGCACGCUGAUAUGUAGGUGAAGCGACUUGCUCGUGGAGCUGAAAUCAGUCGAAGAUACCAGCUGGCUGCAACUGUUUAUUAAAAACACAGCACUGUGCAAACACGAAAGUGGACGUAUACGGUGUGACGCCUGCCCGGUGCCGGAAGGUUAAUUGAUGGGGUUAGCGGUAACGCGAAGCUCUUGAUCGAAGCCCCGGUAAACGGCGGCCGUAACUAUAACGGUCCUAAGGUAGCGAAAUUCCUUGUCGGGUAAGUUCCGACCUGCACGAAUGGCGUAAUGAUGGCCAGGCUGUCUCCACCCGAGACUCAGUGAAAUUGAACUCGCUGUGAAGAUGCAGUGUACCCGCGGCAAGACGGAAAGACCCCGUGAACCUUUACUAUAGCUUGACACUGAACAUUGAGCCUUGAUGUGUAGGAUAGGUGGGAGGCUUUGAAGUGUGGACGCCAGUCUGCAUGGAGCCGACCUUGAAAUACCACCCUUUAAUGUUUGAUGUUCUAACGUUGGCCCGUAAUCCGGGUUGCGGACAGUGUCUGGUGGGUAGUUUGACUGGGGCGGUCUCCUCCUAAAGAGUAACGGAGGAGCACGAAGGUUGGCUAAUCCUGGUCGGACAUCAGGAGGUUAGUGCAAUGGCAUAAGCCAGCUUGACUGCGAGCGUGACGGCGCGAGCAGGUGCGAAAGCAGGUCAUAGUGAUCCGGUGGUUCUGAAUGGAAGGGCCAUCGCUCAACGGAUAAAAGGUACUCCGGGGAUAACAGGCUGAUACCGCCCAAGAGUUCAUAUCGACGGCGGUGUUUGGCACCUCGAUGUCGGCUCAUCACAUCCUGGGGCUGAAGUAGGUCCCAAGGGUAUGGCUGUUCGCCAUUUAAAGUGGUACGCGAGCUGGGUUUAGAACGUCGUGAGACAGUUCGGUCCCUAUCUGCCGUGGGCGCUGGAGAACUGAGGGGGGCUGCUCCUAGUACGAGAGGACCGGAGUGGACGCAUCACUGGUGUUCGGGUUGUCAUGCCAAUGGCACUGCCCGGUAGCUAAAUGCGGAAGAGAUAAGUGCUGAAAGCAUCUAAGCACGAAACUUGCCCCGAGAUGAGUUCUCCCUGACUCCUUGAGAGUCCUGAAGGAACGUUGAAGACGACGACGUUGAUAGGCCGGGUGUGUAAGCGCAGCGAUGCGUUGAGCUAACCGGUACUAAUGAACCGUGAGGCUUAACCUUACAACGCCGAAG
Molecule: ribosomal RNA, 2538 nt
Filed under: Escherichia coli
Lineage: Bacteria; Pseudomonadati; Pseudomonadota; Gammaproteobacteria; Enterobacterales; Enterobacteriaceae
Description: partial 23S ribosomal RNA
Rfam family: Bacterial large subunit ribosomal RNA
Source: RNAcentral